AGUGAACGCUGGCGGCAGGCCUAACACAUGCAAGUCGAACGGCAGCACAGGAGAGCUUGCUCUCUGGGUGGCGAGUGGCGGACGGGUGAGGAUAGCGUCGGAAUCUGCCUAUUUGUGGGGGAUAACCUCGGGAAACCGGGACUAAUACCGCAUACGACCUACGGGUGAAAGCGGAGGACUGUCGGGCCUCGCGCAGAUAGAUGAGCCGACGUCGGAUUAGCUAGUUGGCGGGGUAAUGGCCCACCAAGGCGACGAUCCGUAGCUGGUCUGAGAGGAUGAUCAGCCACACUGGAACUGAGACACGGUCCAGACUCCUACGGGAGGCAGCAGUGGGGAAUAUUGGACAAUGGGCGCAAGCCUGAUCCAGCCAUGCCGUGUGGGUGAAGAAGGCCUUCGGGUUGUAAAGCCCUUUUGUUGGGAAAGAAAAGCAGCCGGUUAAUACCCGGUUGCCAUGACGGUACCCAAAGAAUAAGCACCGGCUAACUUCGUGCCAGCAGCCGCAGUAA
RNAcentral lists this ribosomal RNA (506 nucleotides) under uncultured bacterium. RNAcentral describes it as "partial 16S ribosomal RNA". It matches the Rfam family "Bacterial small subunit ribosomal RNA", at positions 29 to 523 of the family's 1533-position model. The record is from RNAcentral.